CAGUCGCCGCGGGAAUACGGAGGGUGCAAGCGUUAAUCGGAAUUACUGGGCGUAAAGCGUGCGUAGGCGGUUCGUUAAGUCUGUUGUGAAAGCCCCGGGCUCAACCUGGGAAUGGCAAUGGAUACUGGCGAGCUAGAGUGUGUCAGAGGAUGGUGGAAUUCCCGGUGUAGCGGUGAAAUGCGUAGAGAUCGGGAGGAACAUCAGUGGCGAAGGCGGCCAUCUGGGACAACACUGACGCUGAGCCACGAAAGCGUGGGGAGCAAACAGGAUUAGAUACCCCGGUAGUCCCUGUCUCUUAUAC
RNAcentral lists this ribosomal RNA (301 nucleotides) under uncultured bacterium. RNAcentral's name for it is "partial 16S ribosomal RNA". It matches the Rfam family "Bacterial small subunit ribosomal RNA", at positions 509 to 807 of the family's 1533-position model. The record is from RNAcentral.